RNAcentral lists this ribosomal RNA (460 nucleotides) under uncultured bacterium. Its description in RNAcentral is "partial 16S ribosomal RNA". It matches the Rfam family "Bacterial small subunit ribosomal RNA", at positions 338 to 795 of the family's 1533-position model. The record is from RNAcentral.
CCUACGGGUGGCUGCAGUGAGGAAUAUUGGUCAAUGGACGAGAGUCUGAACCAGCCAAGUAGCGUGAAGGAUGAAUGCCCUAUGGGUUGUAAACUUCUUUUAUAUGGGAAUAAAAUGUUCCACGUGUGGGAUUUUGUAUGUACCAUAUGAAGAAGGAUCGGCUAACUCCGUGCCAGCAGCCGCGGUAAUACGGAGGAUCCGAGCGUUAUCCGGAUUUAUUGGGUUUAAAGGGAGCGUAGGUGGAUUGUUAAGUCCGUUGUGAAAGUUUGCGGCUCAACCGUAAAAUUGCAGUUGAAACUGGCAGUCUUGAGUACAGUAGAGGUGGGCGGAAUGCGUGGUGUAGCGGUGAAAUGCUUAGAUAUCACGAAGAACUCCGAUUGCGAAGGCAGUUCACUGGACUGCAACUGACACUGAGGCACGAAAGUGUGGGUAUCAAACAGGAUUAGAUACCCGAGUAGUC